Molecule: ribosomal RNA, 520 nt
Filed under: uncultured archaeon
Lineage: Archaea
Description: bacterial SSU rRNA
Rfam family: Archaeal small subunit ribosomal RNA
Source: RNAcentral
ACGGGGUGCAGCAGGCGCGAAACCUCCACAAUUCACGAAAGUGAGAUGGGGUUACCUCGAGUGCCGCCUGAAGAAGGCGGCUUUUCCAUUGUGUAAUGAGCCGUGGGAAUAAGAGGGGGGCAAGACUGGUGUCAGCCGCCGCGGUAACACCAGCCCCUCGAGUGGUGGGGAUGAUUAUUUGGCCUAAAGCGUCCGUAGCCGGCUCUGUAAAUCUCUCGUUAAAUCCAGCGUCCUAAGCGUUGGGCUGCGAGAGACACUGCAGAGCUAGAGGGUGGGAGAGGUCAGCGGUAUUCCUGGGGUAGGGGCGAAAUCCAUUGAUCCCAGGAGGACCACCAGUGGCGAAGGCUGCUGACUAGAACACGCCUGACGGUCAGGGACGAAAGCUGGGGUAGCGAAUCGGAUUAGAUACCCGAGUAGUCCCAGCCGUAAACGAUGCAGGCUAGGUGUUGGGUUGGCCACGUGCUAGCUCAGUGCCACAGGGAAGCCAUUAAGCCUGCCGCCUGGGAGUACGCCGCAAGGC